RNAcentral lists this long non-coding RNA (1148 nucleotides) under Homo sapiens (human). RNAcentral's name for it is "long intergenic non-protein coding RNA 2777". Lineage: Eukaryota; Metazoa; Chordata; Mammalia; Primates; Hominidae. The record is from RNAcentral.
ACAUUAUGUGCACAGUCACGGGAGCAUGACAAGACAUGACUCCUUCUGGAAAUUGUUCAGAGUCUGGCUUGCAGACAAGGUACAGAUGGAAAUCUUCCUGGACUCAGGCCAAGAAGAGGAGAAAGGCCCUGUGCCCAUCCUGCUGUGAUUCAGGAGUCUCGCAGAAGACAUCAGAAUGCCUUUCUCUGAGUCACAGUCUGUAUCUUCUAGAAAAGGCUGUCCAUCUUCACCCCAAGCCCACUGGCUCCUGAGAUACGACAUCCAGACCCAGUGCAGCUGGACCUGGCCCAGGAAAAGAAAUACAAGUCCUUCCGCCUUGGCAAAGAUGAUAGUACCGUUCCCUUCAGUGUUCCGGUUCUGCUCUAUUGGAUAAGUUCCGGUUUGACUAUGACUACGUGAAAAUGUGGAACCAGACCUUCACCCCACAUUCCAGCUCCAGCUCUACCACAGAGGAAGUGCAAUAUCACCUUAGUUAUUCAACACAUUAUGCUCCUCGUGAUACAACCAGAGUUCACAUCAGCAAUCUUGGCAGCUCUCACCACGCUGCUGACUCACGACUCUCUCAUGUCCCAAUUUCCUGUCCAUUGUUCUUUCCUCUACUUGGCCUGAUUUCUAAAGGCCUCUCUUGGUUGCAUUAAGCGGGAUUCCUGAGGGAUUCCCUUGGCAGUUACCUUGGGGGAGCUCUUAGGUUUGGGGCUGAUCCAUGUCCUCUAAAUGUAGGACUUCAAAGCUCCCAAAGAUAGGCAGGCCCAGUGGGAAGCUGGGAAAUGCUCUCUGACCCCUCUGGGAGGGCUGGCAGUCAGAGGGCCUUUUGGAAAGAGUCAGACCUGAUCCAUAAGUCCCUGGAAAACACCCUGCCCAGGGAGCAAAUGCCACUGUGGCCUUGACUGAGGCUUCAGAAGAGUUUGGGAGCUGCAAUUCAUCCACACACGCAUUCAUUUUCAAGUAGUGGUUUGCAGUUCAGGCUUUGGAGCCACAUAAGCCUGGCUUCAAAGCCACUUUCCAGCUUUGUAGGAAGUCUCUACAUUUUUAAACCUCCAUUUUUUUUUCCUGUAAAACUGGGGUCUUCAUGGUACUUAACUUCAUCGUGAUGUUGAGAGAAUGAAAAGAAAAAGGAUAAAUAAAUGGCUUAGCCUCGUGCCUUGGCA